This is a non-coding RNA of Lupinus albus (white lupine), 373 nucleotides long. The record is from the annotation of a GenBank genome assembly. NCBI's taxonomy places the organism in Eukaryota, Viridiplantae, Streptophyta, Magnoliopsida, Fabales, Fabaceae.
UUGAAUGGGAGGGAUGAAAGCUAGUGAUAUAUAUUGGAUAGAGGUGUUGGUGCAUGAACCUAAUAGAAUAUCAUUCAUAUCCACUCCGGAACAGUGGGAAAAGACUUGCAACUUACACUUUUCAUUGAAAAUUACCUGACCUUGGAUGGUUUUGCACGCAUUUUCUCUCAAAUUCAUGUCAUCAGGUAUUGAAUCAAUCAAUUAGGAUCAGUGAAGGAGAUUAUCAUGAAGGAUAAAGAAGGUUGUCGGCGUCGCUGCAAUGGCUCGGUGGCACUCUAAUCUCGCUAGAUCUUGUACUGAUGGUGGAAGGUGGUGGAGGCUGAUGGGGUGGAGGUGGUGGCAUAUUUGCCGUAAAGGAGGUGGUCACCGGUGA